CAGUCGAGCGAACCACUUCGGUGGUGAGCGGCGAACGGGUGAGUAACACGUAGGUUAUCUGCCCAUCAGACGGGGACAACGAUUGGAAACGAUCGCUAAUACCGGAUAGGACGAAAGUUUAAAGGUGCUUCGGCACCACUGAUGGAUGAGCCUGCGGCGCAUUAGCUAGUUGGUAGGGUAAAGGCCUACCAAGGCGACGAUGCGUAGCCGACCUGAGAGGGUGAACGGCCACACUGGGACUGAGACACGGCCCAGACUCCUACGGGAGGCAGCAGUAGGGAAUCUUCGGCAAUGGGCGAAAGCCUGACCGAGCAACGCCGCGUGAAUGAUGAAGGCCUUCGGGUUGUAAAAUUCUGUUAUAAGGGAAGAAUGGCUCUAGUAGGAAAUGGCUAGAGUGUGACGGUACCUUAUGAGAAAGCCACGGCUAACUACGUGCCAGCAGCCGCGGUAAUACGUAGGUGGCGAGCGUUAUCCGGAAUUAUUGGGCGUAAAGAGCGCGCAGGUGGUUGAUUAAGUCUGAUGUGAAAGCCCACGGCUUAACCGUGGAGGGUCAUUGGAAACUGGUCAACUUGAGUGCAGAAGAGGGAAGUGGAAUUCCAUGUGUAGCGGUGAAAUGCGUAGAGAUAUGGAGGAACACCAGUGGCGAAGGCGGCUUCCUGGUCUGUAACUGACACUGAGGCGCGAAAGCGUGGGGAGCAAACAGGAUUAGAUACCCUGGUAGUCCACGCCGUAAACGAUGAGUGCUAAGUGUUGGGGGUCGAACCUCAGUGCUGAAGUUAAC
RNAcentral lists this ribosomal RNA (781 nucleotides) under uncultured bacterium. RNAcentral describes it as "bacterial SSU rRNA". It matches the Rfam family "Bacterial small subunit ribosomal RNA", at positions 59 to 856 of the family's 1533-position model. The record is from RNAcentral.